Molecule: unclassified non-coding RNA, 144 nt
Filed under: uncultured Dermateaceae
Lineage: Eukaryota; Fungi; Ascomycota; Leotiomycetes; Helotiales; Dermateaceae
Description: sequence contains ITS2
Source: RNAcentral
GACUCUUCAAGCCCUAGGCUUGGUAUUAGGCCGUGCCGGUACCGGCAGGUCGCAACUCCAGUGGCGGCGCCGCGGGGUUCCGAGCGAAGUAACACCUCUCUGCUACGGAUCUCUACGGUCGACGACCCAGAAUCCAACUCUUCG